RNAcentral lists this ribosomal RNA (253 nucleotides) under uncultured bacterium. RNAcentral describes it as "partial 16S ribosomal RNA". It matches the Rfam family "Bacterial small subunit ribosomal RNA", at positions 524 to 776 of the family's 1533-position model. The record is from RNAcentral.
UACGAACCGUACAAACGUUAUUCGGAAUCACUGGGCUUAAAGGGUGCGUAGGCGGUCAUGUAAGUGAGAUGUGAAAUCCCUCGGCUCAACCGAGGAAGUGCAUUUCAUACUGCAUGGCUUGAGGGAGACAGGGGUAAGCGGAACUGAUGGUGGAGCGGUGAAAUGCGUUGAUAUCAUCAGGAACACCGGUGGCGAAAGCGGCUUACUGGGUCUCUUCUGACGCUGAGGUACGAAAGCUAGGGGAGCGAUCGGG